GACGAACGCUGGCGGCGUGCUUAACACAUGCAAGUCGAACGAAGCGUGGUGACGGAUUCUUCGGAUGAGGUAGGAGAUGACGGAGGGGCGGACGGGGGAGAAACGCGUGAGUAAACUGCCCUACAGAGGGGGAUAGCGUGCUGAAACGAACGGUAAUACCGCAUAAUGUAUUUUGACCGCGUGAGCGAAAUACGAAAGCUUUAAUGGUGAAGGAUGGACUGGCGUCUGAUUAGGUAGUGGGAGGGGCAAAGGCCUACCAAGCCGAUGAUCAGACACCGGACUGCGAGGUUGCUCGGCCACAUUGGGACUGAGACACGGCCCAGACUCCUUCGGGAGUCAGCAGAGGGGAAUCUGGCACAAUGGGCGCGAGCCUGAUGCAGCAACGCCGCGUGAAAGAAGACUGUUUUCGGAUUGUAAACUUCUGUUCUUAGUGAAGCAUAAUGACGGUAGCUAAGGAGAAAGCCACGGCUAACUACGUG
RNAcentral lists this ribosomal RNA (479 nucleotides) under uncultured bacterium. RNAcentral's name for it is "partial 16S ribosomal RNA". It matches the Rfam family "Bacterial small subunit ribosomal RNA", at positions 28 to 507 of the family's 1533-position model. The record is from RNAcentral.